CCUUGUACACACCGCCCGUCACACCAUGGGAGUUGGCUUUACCUGAAGGCGGUGCGCCAACCGUAAGGAGGCAGCCGACCACGGUAAGGUCAGCGACUGGGGUG
Molecule: ribosomal RNA, 104 nt
Filed under: uncultured bacterium
Lineage: Bacteria
Description: partial 16S ribosomal RNA
Rfam family: Bacterial small subunit ribosomal RNA
Source: RNAcentral